UGGGUGAGCCGAGAGCUCUGCUGGCCACUGCCCUUUCCCCGCCUGGUCUGAGUGACAUUGAGCGCACCAUCCUUCUACUAAAGGAGGUUGGAGCACUUGCAGUGAGUGGGCAGAGAGAAGAUGAAAACCCCCAUGAUGGUGAAUUGACCUUCUUAGGAAGAGUUUUAGCCCAACUUCCUGUAAAUCAGCAACUUGGUAAACUCAUAGUCCUUGGACAUGUAUUUGGAUGUCUAGAUGAAUGUCUUAUUAUAGGUAAGUGUGAGAACAAAUAAAUGCUAAUGGGAAGUUUAUAUAACACCACUCUCACAAUCUUACAUUCUUCUUGUUUAUUUUUUAUGGUUAGC
This 344-nucleotide long non-coding RNA is filed under the name Homo sapiens (human). RNAcentral describes it as "HSALNT0216573". Lineage: Eukaryota; Metazoa; Chordata; Mammalia; Primates; Hominidae. The record is from RNAcentral.